This 74-nucleotide transfer RNA is filed under the name Planctomycetaceae bacterium. RNAcentral describes it as "tRNA-Pro". It matches the Rfam family "tRNA". From Rfam's summary of the family: Transfer RNA (tRNA) molecules are approximately 80 nucleotides in length. Their secondary structure includes four short double-helical elements and three loops (D, anti-codon, and T loops). Lineage: Bacteria; Pseudomonadati; Planctomycetota; Planctomycetia; Planctomycetales; Planctomycetaceae. The record is from RNAcentral. RNAcentral also lists the same sequence under 1 other name.
CGGGGUGUGGCGCAGCCUGGCAGCGCGACUGGUUUGGGACCAGUAGGUCGCAGGUUCGAAUCCUGUCACCCCGA